This 67-nucleotide transfer RNA is filed under the name Bacillus inaquosorum. RNAcentral describes it as "tRNA-Arg". It matches the Rfam family "tRNA". From Rfam's summary of the family: Transfer RNA (tRNA) molecules are approximately 80 nucleotides in length. Lineage: Bacteria; Bacillati; Bacillota; Bacilli; Caryophanales; Bacillaceae. The record is from RNAcentral.
GUAGCACAGCGGAUAGUGCAGCAGUUUCCUAAACUGCAGGUCGGGAGUUCGAAUCUCUNNGAUGCCA